Molecule: transfer RNA, 85 nt
Filed under: Lachnospiraceae bacterium
Lineage: Bacteria; Bacillati; Bacillota; Clostridia; Lachnospirales; Lachnospiraceae
Also listed under: 5 other names
Description: tRNA-Leu
Rfam family: tRNA
About the family: Transfer RNA (tRNA) molecules are approximately 80 nucleotides in length.
Source: RNAcentral
GCGGUAGUGCUGGAAUUGGCAGACAGGCACGUUUGAGGGGCGUGUGUUGUAUGACGUAUGGGUUCAAGUCCCAUCUACCGCACCA